Maylandia zebra (zebra mbuna) is the source of this 454-nucleotide long non-coding RNA. RefSeq lists it as uncharacterized. Lineage: Eukaryota; Metazoa; Chordata; Actinopteri; Cichliformes; Cichlidae. The record is from RefSeq and is a predicted model, not a curated record.
GACGGAAGAUCGCUGAUGAGGAAAAGCAGAAAGAAAUAAUUUAACUGAGCUUGAAAUGAAACAAGAGCUAGCGAAUCUCUGCUGGACAGCAGCGUGUCACUGUAGGAGCUGCUCAGUGCUGCUAGGAUGACCUGCAUGUGGUGGGAGUUAUUACACUGGUAUAGUAUGACUAUGUCACCUGCAGCCUCCAGCAGUACCAGUUACCUGAGACCACACAUCUCAGCGACGUGUGCGUGCCCAUCCCAGCAGGGGAAAGAGGGAAGCCCCAGCUGUCCCAGCAGAACACACCAUAAAAGAUGAUUGAUGUCACCCCAGAGUCAUAGACGGUCUUCAGAAACUCCAAAACAAUUGAAUCUAGGCUUCUAGGUGUCCAUCAGGUGUGAUGUCAGAGCCACCAGCCUGCAGCUGUUGUUCAUUUACAUCUGCCUAAUUUAUCAUUUAUCCUCAGCACAAU